This 895-nucleotide long non-coding RNA is filed under the name Homo sapiens (human). Its description in RNAcentral is "HSALNT0333880". Lineage: Eukaryota; Metazoa; Chordata; Mammalia; Primates; Hominidae. The record is from RNAcentral.
CAGAUUGCAGCACCCCUUUGCUGACAGAUUGCCUGACCCCAAGGCAUCUCCCCAAGAUGACCACAGUUGUCCCUGAAGAAGCAGUCACAGCAAGCUCACUUCACAGGAACCAAGCUGUGGGCUGAUCCUACAGACUUGAAAAGACAACUCAAAAAGAUUGUCUGUGGGGUCAGAAACAGCUCUGGAGGGGUCUGCAGAAAUUACUUUCCCAAGUCUUUGGGCUGGAAGGAACGAACAGUGCCUGACCAAGGACUUUGAGCAGGAGAGAGAUGGGAGCAGAGAGGAGCCAAGGUCUACUAUUUUCACUUCUGUCAAUUAGAUCAAAGCCCUGCCCAGAAGCUUUGAGCGCCGCUGUCAAGUCCCAUUCCUCCCCUAAACCAUCCAGGUUCCAUCUGCCUUGAAGCCAAAGGAUCUUCUUAGAUUCCUCAAGAAAAAUUCAGGCCCCGAGUUUCUCCACCAGCACUCUCCUCUCCCCGAAGGAGUGGGUGGGCUGCAUUUCUCUUCAUAUUCUAUUCCAUUCCAGACCGUCUUGGACUACCAGCCUGUCCGCCACCCCUCGGGGCCCUCCCUCCUACUCUGCCCUUGCCCGCUGAGGUCCCAAGCUGAGGAGAUGAGCCGAGCAGUAAAAAGAGAGGAGGUUUGGAAAAGCAAUGUCCUCUCAGUCUUUAAUAGGUGGCCCCCCUGGGAACCUGCUGGAAGUGGAAGUUAAUAAGCUGAAGGUGGUCACAACCAAUCUCUGCCACACUCGCACCCUACCCCACCCCAAAUCAUUCCUUUUAAUUAAUAGUGGAAGACCUUUUUAAAAAUGUAACAUGAAUUGGCUAUUUCUUGAGGCAAACAAAAGGUGGCUCUGAAGCGAUAUAUUUGUACUCGUAUAAAUUCAUUAAAAUAGAAA